Molecule: long non-coding RNA, 656 nt
Organism: Brassica napus (rape)
Lineage: Eukaryota; Viridiplantae; Streptophyta; Magnoliopsida; Brassicales; Brassicaceae
Exons: 2
Source: RefSeq, a predicted model, not a curated record
AUUGUUUUUUUUUAAAUAUGUUAGUAGAUUUGUAUAUAUUCGUUUCUUCUUAAUAUUCUUGUUUCCUAAUUUCCUAUUUUCAGGUAUAAAAAACAUUUUAUUCUGACGGACCAGUUGUUAAGCUAUUUCUGUUUGUUGAAGAAUUAAAUAUAAAAGGUAAACAUUUUUUAUGUUUCAUAUUCUGAAAAGUGGAUGUCUACUUUAAACAUCUAUUUUAUAAUAAUUUCAUUGUUUUUGAUCUGCUUUGUUGUGAAAGAAAAGAAUUGAACAACUGGAUAUCUCAUAUUUUGAAUAUUUUUAUUUGCAUUGCUCUGUGGUACCAUGAUAAGGAGGGUCAAAACAGGCUGGAGGAGAUGAGAAGCAAUGGAUAUACGAUUACAUUGUAUCAUGAUAAGGAGGGUCAAAGCAGGCUGGAGGAGAUGGGAAGCAAUGGAUAUACUAUUACAUUGGUAACCCGCACAAAUGAUAUAAAGAAUUAUAUCCGUUAGCUUGUAUCUUAACAAAAUUAAUAUAUAUAAAUAACAAAUCUAUAUAGAACGUUAAAUUUACAUUUGCAUCACAUAGGAUUAGUUCCAAAGAUUCUCCAAUGUAUUUCAUGAAAUGUCUCCAUGUAUGAAUGAUCUUCACUUGAAUGCGACAUGCAGUCUUGCGUGGUU